Molecule: non-coding RNA, 74 nt
Organism: Trichonephila clavipes
Lineage: Eukaryota; Metazoa; Arthropoda; Arachnida; Araneae; Nephilidae
Source: the annotation of a GenBank genome assembly
GCCCCAGUGGCGCGAUCGGUUAGCGCGCGGUACUACUUAUGCCGAGGUUGUGAGUUUUAUCCUCACCUGGGACA